RNAcentral lists this ribosomal RNA (468 nucleotides) under uncultured bacterium. RNAcentral's name for it is "partial 16S ribosomal RNA". It matches the Rfam family "Bacterial small subunit ribosomal RNA", at positions 28 to 507 of the family's 1533-position model. The record is from RNAcentral.
GACGAACGCUGGCGGCGUGCUUAACACAUGCAAGUCGAACGGAAAGGCCCUGCUUUUGUGGGGUGCUCGAGUGGCGAACGGGUGAGUAACACGUGAGUAACCUGCCCUUGACUUUGGGAUAACUUCAGGAAACUGGGGCUAAUACCGGAUAGGAGCUCCUGCUGCAUGGUGGGGGUUGGAAAGUUUCGGCGGUUGGGGAUGGACUCGCGGCUUAUCAGCUUGUUGGUGGGGUAGUGGCUUACCAAGGCUUUGACGGGUAGCCGGCCUGAGAGGGUGACCGGCCACAUUGGGACUGCGGUACGGCCCAGACUCCUACGGGAGGCAGCAGUGGGGAAUAUUGCAGAAUGGGCGGAAGCCUGAUGCAGCAACGCCGCGUGCGGGAUGACGGCCUUCGGGUUGUAAACCGCUUUCGCCUGUGACGAAGCGUGAGUGACGGUAAUGGGUAAAGAAGCACCGGCUAACUACGUG